RNAcentral lists this ribosomal RNA (1671 nucleotides) under uncultured Sebacina. Its description in RNAcentral is "eukaryotic LSU rRNA". The stretch from base 899 to 1671 matches the Rfam family "Eukaryotic large subunit ribosomal RNA", at positions 1 to 754 of the family's 3401-position model. Lineage: Eukaryota; Fungi; Basidiomycota; Agaricomycetes; Sebacinales; Sebacinaceae. The record is from RNAcentral.
GACAAAGCCAGCGAGUCUAUCACCUUGGCCGGAAGGUCCGGGUAAUCUUGUGAAACUUUGUCGUGCUGGGGAUAGAGCAUUGCAAUUAUUGCUCUUCAACGAGGAAUGCCUAGUAAGCGCAAGUCAUCAGCUUGCGUUGAUUACGUCCCUGCCCUUUGUACACACCGCCCGUCGCUACUACCGAUUGAAUGGCUUAGUGAGGUCUUCGGAUCGGCUUUGAGGACCCGGCAACGGGAUCUCGUUGCUGAGAAGUCGAUCAAACUUGGUCAUUUAGAGGAAGUAAAAGUCGUAACAAGGUUUCCGUAGGUGAACCUGCGGAAGGAUCAUUAGUGAAUCUUCAAAAGUCGGCUCUGUGGAUUGUGCUGGUGGAGACACAUGUGCACGUCCGCAAGGUCGCAAACCCCACACACCUGUGCAUCUAUGACUCUGAGUGCCGCUUUGCAUGGCCUUGACCGGCCUGGCGCUCGAGUACUUUCACACACUCUUGAAUGUAACGGAAUGUCUUGUUGUGCAUAACGUACAAACAGAAACAACUUUCAACAACGGAUCUCUUGGCUCUCGCAUCGAUGAAGAACGCAGCGAAAUGCGAUAAGUAAUGUGAAUUGCAGAAUUCAGUGAAUCAUCGAAUCUUUGAACGCACCUUGCACCCUUUGGUAUUCCGAAGGGUACGCCCGUUUGAGUGUCAUUGUAAUCUCACYACCAUUGACUUUGGUCUUUUGGUAUGUGGACUUGGAUGUUGCCGUCGAUGUCUACGGCUCGUCUGAAAUGCUUCAGUGUACCCCGCUUUGCGGCGUAUUCGGUGUGAUACAUCUUCACCGGAGUUGAUCCUUUUGGGGGUCGCGUCUGUAAUGUGUGGCUCUAUGCUUCCAACCGUCUCUCGAGACAAUCUCUGACAAUUUGACCUCAAAUCGGGUGGGACUACCCGCUGAACUUAAGCAUAUCAAUAAGCGGAGGAAAAGAAACUAACAAGGAUUCCCCUAGUAACGGCGAGUGAAGAGGGAAAAGCUCAAAUUUUGAAUCUGGUGUCUUUGACUCCCGAGUUGUAAUCUAGAGAAGUGUUUUCCGUGUCGGACCGUGCACAAGUUCCCUGGAACGGGGCGUCAUAGAGGGUGAGAAUCCCGUAUAUGGCACGGACUGCCGAUGCUUUUGUGAUACACUCUCAACGAGUCGAGUUGUUUGGGAAUGCAGCUCAAAAUGGGUGGUAAAUUCCAUCUAAAGCUAAAUAUUGGCGAGAGACCGAUAGCGAACAAGUACCGUGAGGGAAAGAUGAAAAGCACUUUGGAAAGAGAGUGAAACAGUACGUGAAAUUGUUGAAAGGGAAGCGUUUGAAGUCAGUCGUAUCUGGCGGGAUUCAGCUGGGCUUUUGCCCGGUGUACUUCUCGUCCGAUGGGUCAGCAUCAAUUUYGACCGGGGGAAAAAGAUGUGGGGAAUGUGGCUGUCUWYGGGCAGUGUUAUAGCCCCAUGUUGUAUGCCUCGGUUGGGAUUGAGGAACGCAGCGCGCCUAUAGGCCAGGGGCUACCCGCCUCUUGACACGCGCUUAGGAUGCUGGCAUAAUGGCUUUAAGCGACCCGUCUUGAAACACGGACCAAGGAGUCUAACAUGUGCGCGAGUGUUUGGGUGUCAAACCCAUGCGCGAAAUGAAAGUGAAAGGUCGGGAUCAUUCACGUGUGC